RNAcentral lists this ribosomal RNA (375 nucleotides) under uncultured bacterium. Its description in RNAcentral is "bacterial SSU rRNA". It matches the Rfam family "Bacterial small subunit ribosomal RNA", at positions 521 to 896 of the family's 1533-position model. The record is from RNAcentral.
UAAUACGGAGGGGGCGAGCGUUGUUCGGAUUUACUGGGCGUAAAGCGUGCGUAGGUGGUUUCCCAAGUUAGAAGUGAAAGCCCAGGGCUUAACCCUGGAACUGCUUUUAAAACUGGGUCACUAGAAUUUAGGAGAGGUAGAUGGAAUUCCGAGUGUAGAGGUGAAAUUCGUAGAUAUUCGGAGGAACACCAAUGGCGAAAGCAGUCUACUGGACUAACAUUGACACUGAGGCACGAAAGCGUGGGGAGCAAACAGGAUUAGAUACCCUGGUAGUCCACGCCGUAAACGAUGUGUGCUAGUUAUCGGGCAAUUUAUUGUUCGGUGACGCCGCUAACGCAUUAAGCACACCGCCUGGGGAGUACGGUCGCAAGAUUA